UACGUAGGGGGCGAGCGUUACCCGGAUUUACUGGGCGUAAAGGGGGCGUAGGCGGCCGUGAAAGUCCGGUGUGAAAACUCACGGCUCAACCGUGGGACUGCGCUGGAAACUACACGGCUUGAGGACGGUAGAGGGAGACGGAACUGCUGGUGUAGGGGUGAAAUCCGUAGAUAUCAGCAGGAACGCCGGUGGAGAAGUCGGUCUCCUGGGCCGCGCCCGACGCUGAGGCACGAAAGCUAGGGGAGCGAACCGG
RNAcentral lists this ribosomal RNA (253 nucleotides) under uncultured microorganism. RNAcentral's name for it is "partial 16S ribosomal RNA". It matches the Rfam family "Bacterial small subunit ribosomal RNA", at positions 524 to 776 of the family's 1533-position model. The record is from RNAcentral.